Meleagris gallopavo (turkey) is the source of this 1816-nucleotide long non-coding RNA. NCBI's taxonomy places the organism in Eukaryota, Metazoa, Chordata, Aves, Galliformes, Phasianidae. The record is from Ensembl.
AGCAUCAUAAAGUGCUCAUGUUAGCUGUGUUCCUGGAGGAGUUAUGCUUUUGGAAGUCAGUUGAAAUUUGAUGGGAGUGGAGAUCUGAGAAGCAGUUGUUGGUAUGGACCAAACAUGUGCACAUGUUGUCAUGUUUUAAUAUAAGAAAUUCUCCUUUCUGUCCAGCAUCCGAAGAGAGCACAUUUCAUAGCGAUUGCUCUGGCAAGUCAAAGUUGCAGCCUUUCUCAUGACAGCUUUCCCUCUACUACAACAAACUCAUCCUCUUUGGAGACAAGAAUUUGCUGCCCCAGCUUCUUUUCAUUGUCUGCUGGCUCUUGUUCUGCCAUUAAUGCUAAAAGCUCCACUUGAUUCUGAGAAGAAACAGAGAGGUACUGAAAGGAAACACUAGUGAGAGUAAAGCCUGGCCUUCCACUGAUACCAGUAAAUCUGCAGAGCUUCAAACAGUUCCACAGCACAGUAUUAUCCAGACUGGGGUGUGCAGCCUUAUUUGUUUGCCUGAAGCUAUGUGGUUAAUAAAUGACUCUUCUAUGGCUUUGUCCACAUUUCUGCUUGUGAGAGCAAAGAAUUACCCAGGCAAGCACAAAGGAAACCAUGAACAUGAGGUAAUCAGCCACAAGUUAUGCAGAAGUCAGUUAGCCGUCAAGCCACAGCUGUAGCGAGUAGUAGGAGUAACUUAAGAGCAGAAGGUAAAGGCAAAUUUAAACAAAAGUGCUGCAUCUUAACUCUUCCACACUGACACCUUACCACCAUGUCUUUAGAUCUGGAAAAGCUUUUAGGAUAACCUUUCCAAGAAGUAGAAGAGAAAGAAGAGAACCAAUGUAGUCUGUCAGUUCUUCCAAGCAAAUGCAGCCUUCUCCAGCUGACCUCAGUCUCUUAGCAUGAACAGUUUGUGUCCUCUUUCCAUUCUGCCAGCAGCUGUGCACAUUCAAACCCUUACUUUGUAUGAAUCAUGCACGAGUGGAAGCCUCUGAGUUUUAUGUCCCUUUGAGUGGUUCUUUGCCUACAUUGGAACAAAAUGUCUAUUUAUUACUGCAGCUUUUCAGGGAUCACCUGCAUUGAGGUGGUCUGGGCAACCAUGGGUGGAAUCAAGUCACAGGACUGUUGGUUUUUUUCCUAAGCUAUUAAUUAACAGAACAUUUUAAAUAUUAAUCCAUUCAGACACAUAUAGCCUUCACAGUGCAGUAUCCAAAGACACCAAGGAUAUGACAACAUAUUGCAGUAAGGAAACAACCUGUCACUUACACAGGGGUUAUUCAGACACAAUAUUUUGUCACUUGGCACUAAGUAUUGAUAAUGCGGGCAGCUUACAUCACUAUAUUUGCAAUGUAAAUAAAUGAAUUUCAAGGUUCUACUGCUGUCUAAGAAGGUUUACACCUAGAGGUGGACUCUUCUGAAGUUCAUCUCCCUUGAAAGUAGCUGUAUAUCAUUGCUUUGGACAAAAAGUCAGCAUGGAAAUUUGAUAGGAAGCAGUUAGACACAGAAGAAUUCUGCAGGACAUUAAAAGCAAAAUUUUAGGACUGUGGAGGCAAAUUUAGAAGGUUGAAGGCUGUGGCUAUCUUGCAGACUGGUGAUUUAAGAUAUUUAAGGUCUUCACUCAUAAAAUAGAGUUGGCUCAGGUUACCUCUUACAAGCUGUUCUCUACACACACAGAAUAUUAUGAGGCUCAAAACUACUAUGACAAUGAAAGCAGUUACAGACGCUGCAAUCCAGAUGUGCAGCUUCCAGGAUAAAUAUCAUACUUGUUUAUAACCAGACUUUGGGAGUAGCAGCAAAGCUGAAUGAAACACAUUUGGACCUUACAAAAAAAAAAAAAAAA